This 493-nucleotide ribosomal RNA is filed under the name uncultured bacterium. Its description in RNAcentral is "partial 16S ribosomal RNA". It matches the Rfam family "Bacterial small subunit ribosomal RNA", at positions 29 to 507 of the family's 1533-position model. The record is from RNAcentral.
AACGAACGCUGGCGGCGCGUCUAAAACAUGCAAGUCGAACGGCAGGACGGGGAUUGCUCCCUCUGAGAGUGGCGGACUGGCGAGUAACUCGUGGGUGACAUACCUUUUAGUUGGGGAUAGCUAUUAGAAAUAGUAGGUAAUACCGAAUAUGACAGUACAUGUUCGAGGGGUACCAGGAAAGGAGCUAAGGCUUCGCUAAAAGAAUGGCUCGCGGCCCAUUAUGCUCGUUGGUGAGGUAACGGCCCACCAAGGCGAUGACGGGUAGCCGGCCUGAGAGGGUGAACGGACACAUUGGGACUGAGACACGGCCCAGACUUCUACGGGAGGCAGCAGUUAAGAAUAUUCCGCAAUGGACGAAAGUCUGACGGAGCGACGCCGCGUGGAUGAAGAAGGCCUAAAGGUUGUAAAAUCCUUUUAAGCCUGAUGAAUAAGCACAGUAGGAAAUGAUUGUGCGGUGACGGUAGCGAUUGAAUAAGCACCGGCUAAUUACGUG